GACGAACGCUGGCGGCGUGCCUAAUACAUGCAAGUAGAACGCUGAAGCUUGGUGCUUGCACCGAGCGGAUGAGUUGCGAACGGGUGAGUAACGCGUAGGUAACCUGCCUGGUAGCGGGGGAUAACUAUUGGAAACGAUAGCUAAUACCGCAUAAGAGUAGAUGUUGCAUGACAUUUGCUUAAAAGGUGCAAUUGCAUCACUACCAGAUGGACCUGCGUUGUAUUAGCUAGUUGGUGAGGUAACGGCUCACCAAGGCAACGAUACAUAGCCGACCUGAGAGGGUGAUCGGCCACACUGGGACUGAGACACGGCCCAGACUCCUACGGGAGGCAGCAGUAGGGAAUCUUCGGCAAUGGACGGAAGUCUGACCGAGCAACGCCGCGUGAGUGAAGAAGGUUUUCGGAUCGUAAAGCUCUGUUGUAAGAGAAGAACGAGUGUGAGAGUGGAAAGUUCACACUGUGACGGUAUCUUACCAGAAAAGGACGGCUAACUACGU
RNAcentral lists this ribosomal RNA (496 nucleotides) under uncultured bacterium. RNAcentral describes it as "partial 16S ribosomal RNA". It matches the Rfam family "Bacterial small subunit ribosomal RNA", at positions 28 to 506 of the family's 1533-position model. The record is from RNAcentral.